This 254-nucleotide ribosomal RNA is filed under the name uncultured bacterium. RNAcentral's name for it is "partial 16S ribosomal RNA". It matches the Rfam family "Bacterial small subunit ribosomal RNA", at positions 524 to 776 of the family's 1533-position model. The record is from RNAcentral.
UACGUAGGUGACCAGCGUUGUCCGGAUUUACUGGGCGUAAAGAGCGCGCAGGCGGUCGUUCAAGUCGAGUGUGAAAGCCCCCCGGCUCAACUGGGGAGGGUCACGCGAUACUGUUCGACUCGAAGGCAGGAGAGGGAAGCAGAAUUCCCGGUGUAGUGGUGAAAUGCGUAGAUAUCUGGAGGAACACCGGUGGCGAAGGCGGCAUCCUGGACCGGCAUUGACGCUGAGGCGCGAAAGCCAGGGGAGCAAACGGG